GGAGACGUGCCGGAGUGGUCGAACGGGCUUGACUCGAAAUCAAGUGUACCCUUUAACGGGUACCGAGGGUUCGAAUCCCUCCGUCUCCG
Molecule: transfer RNA, 89 nt
Filed under: Thermonema lapsum
Lineage: Bacteria; Pseudomonadati; Bacteroidota; Cytophagia; Cytophagales; Thermonemataceae
Rfam family: tRNA
About the family: Transfer RNA (tRNA) molecules are approximately 80 nucleotides in length.
Source: Rfam by way of RNAcentral